Molecule: transfer RNA, 86 nt
Filed under: Selaginella sanguinolenta
Lineage: Eukaryota; Viridiplantae; Streptophyta; Lycopodiopsida; Selaginellales; Selaginellaceae
Description: tRNA-Pro
Source: RNAcentral
CGGAGCAUGUCGCAGCUGGGUAGCGUACCGUCUCGCUCGGGGUGAUGGAGGUCGCGUGUUCAAACCCCGUCGUCCCGCUGCUCCGA